Molecule: ribosomal RNA, 251 nt
Filed under: uncultured bacterium
Lineage: Bacteria
Description: partial 16S ribosomal RNA
Rfam family: Bacterial small subunit ribosomal RNA
Source: RNAcentral
GCAAGUCGAGGGGUAACAUUUCAGCUUGCUACAUUUGACGACCGCCGCACGGGUGCGUAACGCGUAUAGAAUCUACCUUUUACUAAGGGAUAGCCUUUAGAAAUGAAGAUUAAUACCUUAUAGUAUUGAGAACUGGCAUCGGUUCUUACUUAAAGAUUUAUUGGUAAAAGAUGACUAUGCGUUCUAUUAGCUAGAUGGAGAGGUAACGGCUCCCCAUGGCGACGAUAGAUAGGGGUCCUGAGAGGGAGAUC